CAAUUGUACAUUUGUUUCUGCAGUGCCACACUGAAGAACGGACAGACUUGUCUCAAUCCUACAGAGAACUGGGUGAUGUCACUCAAGACUCAAUUUGCAAAGCGAGAACAGACCGAAGAGAAAGCACAGACACAAGAGUGUGUGCCGAAGCGUGCAAGUGCACAGACAGAUGAUCUUCUGCUGUCUUGCAGCCGCUCCUGUCUUCUGCAGAACUGGCACAUACAUCGCCGUAUGGAUUAUCACAAGUGCUGUCGUGAUGCCUCUACCUAACACCAUCACUACACACAUACUGUAUUUACUUAAUCAAAAAUGUAUUAU
Danio rerio (zebrafish) is the source of this 318-nucleotide non-coding RNA. The record is from RefSeq and is a predicted model, not a curated record. NCBI's taxonomy places the organism in Eukaryota, Metazoa, Chordata, Actinopteri, Cypriniformes, Danionidae.